This 465-nucleotide ribosomal RNA is filed under the name Vreelandella stevensii. RNAcentral's name for it is "partial 16S ribosomal RNA". It matches the Rfam family "Bacterial small subunit ribosomal RNA", at positions 338 to 795 of the family's 1533-position model. Lineage: Bacteria; Pseudomonadati; Pseudomonadota; Gammaproteobacteria; Oceanospirillales; Halomonadaceae. The record is from RNAcentral.
CCUACGGGUGGCUGCAGUGGGGAAUAUUGGACAAUGGGGGGAACCCUGAUCCAGCCAUGCCGCGUGUGUGAAGAAGGCCCUCGGGUUGUAAAGCACUUUCAGUGAGGAAGAACGCCUGGUGGUUAAUACCCAUCAGGAAAGACAUCACUCACAGAAGAAGCACCGGCUAACUCCGUGCCAGCAGCCGCGGUAAUACGGAGGGUGCGAGCGUUAAUCGGAAUUACUGGGCGUAAAGCGCGCGUAGGUGGCUUGAUAAGCCGGUUGUGAAAGCCCCGGGCUCAACCUGGGAACGGCAUCCGGAACUGUCAAGCUAGAGUGCAGGAGAGGAAGGUAGAAUUCCCGGUGUAGCGGUGAAAUGCGUAGAGAUCGGGAGGAAUACCAGUGGCGAAGGCGGCCUUCUGGACCGACACUGACACUGAGGUGCGAAAGCGUGGGUAGCAAACAGGAUUAGAUACCCUUGUAGUC